CGCGCUCCGCCUCCUCCGGGCCUGCGCGAUCCGACGGCGGCCGCGAUGACGGGCGCGGAGGUGCCCACGCUGCUGCGGCGGCUGCAGACGCUUCAGGCAGAGCGGGCCGAGCGGUACCGGCAGCUGGAGGAGGGCCACCGUGCGUACCUGAGCAGCGGCCCGCACUACGACUUCCCACGGUACCGGCAGCUGGUCCACGAGGUGACAGUGGCUUUUGGUGGCAUCUCCAGGGAGGUUCUGAGCAUCGCCGGGUGCCUGCGGGACCAACUGGCCCGGCCCGACCUGGCCCAGCACCUCGAUCGCCUCCAGGACCGGGAACGGGAGAAGCUGCAGUUGACAGCACAGCUCCAGCUGGCCCGGCAGCUCGCUCAGGACCAUCCCCAGGAUGAAUCCCAUCAGCAGGAGGUGCAGGACCUCAAACACAAGCUAAUUAAAACCACCGAGGCAAUCAGCGAGGUUCUCCAGGAUCUCAAGUACGAUUCGGAAGAAGUCGAGUGAUGGGCGGCCCCGUGGGAACGGCUGAGGGAGGGGGAGGGGGGCCCCGCUCCUUCCUCAAGCCACACGCGCCACUGGUCGUAGAGUUUGAUGCCGAGGUUGGAGCAGCCGUAGGCGUGUUUCUUCACCCAGCCCAGGAACUGCUUCAGCUCCCUCCUCAACGUCGUGUUCUGCUCCCCCCCCUUGGGGUCACAGCCCCCCGACGCCCUCUCUGUGGGGACAAGGACGAUGCCACCACCGAGGGAGGGGACCUUGAGGUCUUCGUUGCGCGGCCCAGGGGAGAGGAGGAAGGAUUUGGGGUGCUGGGUGGGGAAGCUGAGCUCCAAAUUGGCUCUGAGAGGGGGGGAUGUGUCCCCCCCCUGCCACCAACAUUGAGUUAUGGAAUGUCAGGGGUCGGAAGGGACCUCUGGAGAUCCUGGAGUCCAAUCCCACCCAGGGACACAUCCAGGAGGAGGCUCCACAACCUCUCUGGGCAUCCCGGGCUCCAUCCCCCUCACCCUCCAGAACUUCCCAUGUUUCAACCCGUUAUUCCUUGCCCUAUUCCUGGGCAUCACUGACAUUGCUCUCAUCCUCUUGACCCCCACCCCUUAGAUGUUUAUAGGGAUCAUGUCACCCCGUGUCCCACCCCCGGAGUGCCCAGAAGAUCCCCUCUCAGCCUUCCAAAGGCUGAACACCCCCAGGUCCCUCAGCCUUCCAUAGGGAAGAUCUCCAAGUCCCUUCAUCACCCUCCUCACCCUCCUUUGGCCUCUCUC
Molecule: RNA transcript, 1247 nt
Organism: Calypte anna (Anna's hummingbird)
Lineage: Eukaryota; Metazoa; Chordata; Aves; Apodiformes; Trochilidae
Gene: REX1BD
Gene name: required for excision 1-B domain containing
Exons: 6
Source: RefSeq, a predicted model, not a curated record